GAAGAUGUAACGAACAAUUUGGUAAAAUAAAUUUGUCAAAAUCUUUAAGGGUUGCAAACGGGUAGUGGCCACAAGAAAAACAGUGUUUGGGGAGAUAACUCUUACAAUGUAAAGUAUUUUGUUACGCAGUUGUCAGUUUUAAAAGCGUAUAAACUAUACGAUAUCAUAUUCCAAAUAUCUAAGCGACAUCUUUAGAAACAUCAAUACUACGCAAGAAAAAAAUUAGGCGGAAGAAAAAAAAAAUAAAAUUAAAAA
This 255-nucleotide long non-coding RNA is filed under the name Mytilus galloprovincialis (Mediterranean mussel). Lineage: Eukaryota; Metazoa; Mollusca; Bivalvia; Mytilida; Mytilidae. The record is from RNAcentral.